AAGUCGAACGGUAACAGGAAGCAGCUUGCUGCUUCGCUGACGAGUGGCGGACGGGUGAGUAAUGUCUGGGAAACUGCCUGAUGGAGGGGGAUAACUACUGGAAACGGUGGCUAAUACCGCAUAACGUCGCAAGACCAAAGAGGGGGACCUUCGGGCCUCUUGCCAUCAGAUGUGCCCAGAUGGGAUUAGCUAGUUGGUGAGGUAACGGCUCACCAAGGCGACGAUCCCUAGCUGGUCUGAGAGGAUGACCAGCCACACUGGAACUGAGACACGGUCCAGACUCCUACGGGAGGCAGCAGUGGGGAAUAUUGCACAAUGGGCGCAAGCCUGAUGCAGCCAUGCCGCGUGUAUGAAGAAGGCCUUCGGGUUGUAAAGUACUUUCAGCGGGGAGGAAGGUGUUGUGGUUAAUAACCGCAG
This 417-nucleotide ribosomal RNA is filed under the name Salmonella enterica. Its description in RNAcentral is "bacterial SSU rRNA". It matches the Rfam family "Bacterial small subunit ribosomal RNA", at positions 59 to 472 of the family's 1533-position model. The record is from RNAcentral. Lineage: Bacteria; Pseudomonadati; Pseudomonadota; Gammaproteobacteria; Enterobacterales; Enterobacteriaceae.